GACGAACGCUGGCGGCGUGCUUAACACAUGCAAGUCGAACGAAGUGGCGAACGGGUGAGUAACGCGUAAUCAACCUGCCCUUCAGAGGGGGACAACAGUUGGAAACGACUGCUAAUACCGCAUACUGAAGGAGGGGAUUGCGUCUGAUUAGCUAGUUGGGGGGGUAACGGCCCACCAAGGCGAGGAUCAGGAGGCGGGAUGGGAGGAUGGACGGCCACAGUGGGACGGGGAAAAGGCCCAGACUCCGACGGGAGGGAGCAGGGGGGAAUCUUCCGCAAUGGACGAAAGUCUGACGGAGCAACGCCGGGGGAGUGAUGAAGGGCUUCGGGGUGGAAAGCUCUGUUAAGCGGGACGCGGUACCGGAAGAGAAAGCCACGGCUAACUACGUGCCAGCAGCCGCGGUAAUAC
Molecule: ribosomal RNA, 408 nt
Filed under: uncultured bacterium
Lineage: Bacteria
Description: partial 16S ribosomal RNA
Rfam family: Bacterial small subunit ribosomal RNA
Source: RNAcentral